RNAcentral lists this ribosomal RNA (465 nucleotides) under uncultured Desulfovibrio sp. RNAcentral describes it as "bacterial SSU rRNA". It matches the Rfam family "Bacterial small subunit ribosomal RNA", at positions 921 to 1382 of the family's 1533-position model. The record is from RNAcentral. Lineage: Bacteria; Pseudomonadati; Thermodesulfobacteriota; Desulfovibrionia; Desulfovibrionales; Desulfovibrionaceae.
CCGCACAAGCGGUGGAGUAUGUGGUUUAAUUCGACGCAACGCGCAGAACCUUACCUAGACUUGACAUCCCGGGGAUUUUCUGGAAACAGAGAAGUGCUUUAGCAAUAAAGAACCCGGUGACAGGUGCUGCAUGGCUGUCGUCAGCUCGUGUCGUGAGAUGUUGGGUUAAGUCCCGCAACGAGCGCAACCCUCGCCUUUAGUUGCCAGCAUUCAGUUGGGCACUCUAGAGGGACUGCCGGUGUCAAACCGGAGGAAGGUGGGAUGACGUCAAGUCCUCAUGGCCUUUAUGUCUAGGGCUACACACGUACUACAAUGGCCGGUACAAAGGGCAGCCACUCAGCGAUGAGGCGCUAAUCCCAUAAAGCCGGUCUCAGUCCGGAUCGCAGUCUGCAACUCGACUGCGUGAAGUUGGAAUCGCUAGUAAUCGUAGAUCAGCAUGCUACGGUGAAUACGUUCCCGGGCCUU